GCUCCCAUGGUGAAAUGGAUAUCACGCAGCUCUCCGGAAGCUGAAGUUCAGGUUCGAUUCCUGAUGGGAGCGCCA
This 75-nucleotide transfer RNA is filed under the name Saccharobesus litoralis. RNAcentral's name for it is "Catenovulum sp. CCB-QB4 tRNA-Arg". It matches the Rfam family "tRNA". Rfam says of the family: Transfer RNA (tRNA) molecules are approximately 80 nucleotides in length. Their secondary structure includes four short double-helical elements and three loops (D, anti-codon, and T loops). The record is from RNAcentral. Lineage: Bacteria; Pseudomonadati; Pseudomonadota; Gammaproteobacteria; Alteromonadales; Alteromonadaceae.